UGCAAAGGGUGAGAGGGAAGGGCCACAUUAGAAAGUAACUAAUGAGUAUCAGCUGUAUCAUUGCAACACCUCUCCUGGUUGCCAUGAGCUGUUGGAGGUUUUUCUAGCAGAGACCUGCAGAUGAAUGAUGUAUUGCAAAGUAUCUGCUAGUGAAGACAGAAGAUGCUUAUGCUCAUAAUGAGGCGUAUGAUAUAUAAGAUACUGAAAAUGGAUGGAGGGGUUUUCCCCUAAGUAAUUACAAUUCAUGAUUACUGGGAACUUACAAGAGCAGAAACACUGAUUCCUCCUGCAGAUUCUCCAAAGAUAGUGACAGAUCCUGGAUCUCCUCCAAAAUGCAUGAUAUUUUCCUGAAUCCAGCGAAGAGCCGCCACUUGGUCUAAAUAUCCCCAGUUACCCCGGGCAUGCUCAUCACCAGUGCU
Long non-coding RNA from Melospiza georgiana, 419 nucleotides. RefSeq lists it as uncharacterized. NCBI's taxonomy places the organism in Eukaryota, Metazoa, Chordata, Aves, Passeriformes, Passerellidae. The transcript has 2 exons. The record is from RefSeq and is a predicted model, not a curated record.